GAUGGUUUCAGAUUUUUUCUAUCCCAACUUAGGUGGCGUGGAAAACCGAUUCUAUUACCUAUCACAAUGUCUAUUAAAGCUUGGUCACAAGGUUAGAGGUUGUCAGUCAGUUUGUAAAUUUGUCAACUUUGUCUUCUAGCUUGCUGUGUUAUUACUUAUUAGGCAUUGGUAGAAUGCAGGGACCGAGGAAGAAGAUUUUGGGAAAUGCAUAUAUUUGGUUGAGAAAUGAAUUAAUGGGGAAUAAGUUGGACAUAAAUUAUUUUAAAUAUUUUUCCUUUUGUUUGGUAAGACAUAGAGUAAUUUAUUUCCUAAAAAGUUCUUACCAACCUUACUUUCUCUCUUUUUUGCUUUUUUCCCCCAAAACAAGUAGAACUUCAUUAACAAUUGCCCACUCUUAUUUGUCUUUAUUCCUUUGUUCAACUUUCUUUUCUGGUUUUUCUUAUCAUUUUGCUUCCAGUGUAUUGGUUGUUGAGCCUUGUAUCUGCCUGAAAGUAGCAUCAAUUUUAAUUUCCUUGUUGGUUUUUAGAUAUUGCUGAUUUCAUAAAUUAUUUAAUAUGUAAGUUUUCAAGUG
RNAcentral lists this unclassified non-coding RNA (571 nucleotides) under Hevea brasiliensis (rubber tree). Lineage: Eukaryota; Viridiplantae; Streptophyta; Magnoliopsida; Malpighiales; Euphorbiaceae. The record is from RNAcentral.